CAGAAUCCUUGUUCUCUCUCCCUUCCUGUGAUCUGCCUUCUUCCCAGCAAGCAAACGAAUCUCUUGCGGAUGAAGCCAUGUUUUUAGGGUUCAAAGAGGUAUCAUCUCAAUAAUUUCUCCAUUCUGGGAAUAUGACUGAUCUCAUAUAGUUGAAAUUGCUCAAUCAAGGAACUGAUCUCAUAGAAUAUUGCGUCUGAUCUUCAGAAAGAGAACUUCCUUUGCUAUUAAACCAAGCACAAGAGGCCGCAAUCCAAGAGAUUUUGCAAUUUUGUGGGCCUCUGGCCUUUCUCAAAGCUAGAAAUAACCCAAGCUUUAACAAUCAACAUGAAUUGACGUUGAUGGGAAGAUGUAAUCUGAAUCAGCUGCAUCUAAACUUCCCUUGCUCUUGCUGA
Molecule: long non-coding RNA, 392 nt
Organism: Macadamia integrifolia
Lineage: Eukaryota; Viridiplantae; Streptophyta; Magnoliopsida; Proteales; Proteaceae
Exons: 2
Source: RefSeq, a predicted model, not a curated record